UGCACUUCAAACUGUGUUUAUACAAUGCAGUAAAGCAUAAUGGAAACAUUAGAAGUUUCAUGUAAAUUAAAUAUGCCAGAGCAUCAGAGAUAGCAUGUGAAUAUAAAAGACCUCAAUAUGGCUAAUUAAGGGGAAUGAAAAAAAUGAUCUGAAAUGUCUGCCUGAUAAUUAUAAAGAGCAGUAUGAACAGAUAAGGAUAGUAUACACAAAAUGAUGAGGCUUUAGUUUUCUUUACUCAAAAUUCAGCACCACAGAAAGUCCAGUCAGACUGAGUUGAUUUUCAGGACCUUGGACAAGACUACAAUGUGGAAAAUGUGUGCUUUCAAUGUAUUUUGCAGUGUUCAUUUAAAAAAAAAAAAAAAUGUUGGGGGACGAAUUGUGAUCAUGUUGAUAUAAGGGAAACUUGACCUUUUAAUAUAUGAUUUUAUAUAAUAUAUGAUUAUUACUAUUUAGUUCUGUUUUCAUGAGGACUUCAAUAAUCAUUGCAGUAGUAAUUUUACUCUUUUGGUGUGUGUGUGUGUUCCAGACAGAGCAGCAGCUGGAGAAUUACGUGGAGAAAAUGGAUAUCAAGAUCACAAAGACAGAAAAUCCAAAAUGCUUACCUCAGAAUGUGAGACCAUCUGCACUAAAAGAAAACAUCACUGUUAAGGCCUGUUCACAUCAAGAAUGA
Cyprinus carpio carpio is the source of this 670-nucleotide long non-coding RNA. Lineage: Eukaryota; Metazoa; Chordata; Actinopteri; Cypriniformes; Cyprinidae. The record is from Ensembl.